AGAGUUUGAUCAUGGCUCAGAUUGAACGCUGGCGGCAGGCCUAACACAUGCAAGUCGAACGGUAGCACAGAGAGCUUGCUCUCGGGUGACGAGUGGCGGACGGGUGAGUAAUGUCUGGGAAACUGCCUGAUGGAGGGGGAUAACUACUGGAAACGGUGGCUAAUACCGCAUAACGUCGCAAGACCAAAGAGGGGGACCUUCGGGCCUCUUGCCAUCAGAUGUGCCCAGAUGGGAUUAGCUAGUUGGUGAGGUAACGGCUCACCAAGGCGACGAUCCCUAGCUGGUCUGAGAGGAUGACCAGCCACACUGGAACUGAGACACGGUCCAGACUCCUACGGGAGGCAGCAGUGGGGAAUAUUGCACAAUGGGCGCAAGCCUGAUGCAGCCAUGCCGCGUGUAUGAAGAAGGCCUUCGGGUUGUAAAGUACUUUCAGCGGGGAGGAAGGUGUUGUGGUUAAUAACCGCAGCAAUUGACGUUACCCGCAGAAGAAGCACCGGCUAACUCCGUGCCAGCAGCCGCGGUAAUACGGAGGGUGCAAGCGUUAAUCGGAAUUACUGGGCGUAAAGCGCACGCAGGCGGUCUGUCAAGUCGGAUGUGAAAUCCCCGGGCUCAACCUGGGAACUGCAUUCGAAACUGGCAGGCUUGAGUCUUGUAGAGGGGGGUAGAAUUCCAGGUGUAGCGGUGAAAUGCGUAGAGAUCUGGAGGAAUACCGGUGGCGAAGGCGGCCCCCUGGACAAAGACUGACGCUCAGGUGCGAAAGCGUGGGGAGCAAACAGGAUUAGAUACCCUGGUAGUCCACGCCGUAAACGAUGUCUACUUGGAGGUUGUGCCCUUGAGGCGUGGCUUCCGGAGCUAACGCGUUAAGUAGACCGCCUGGGGAGUACGGCCGCAAGGUUAAAACUCAAAUGAAUUGACGGGGGCCCGCACAAGCGGUGGAGCAUGUGGUUUAAUUCGAUGCAACGCGAAGAACCUUACCUGGUCUUGACAUCCACAGAACUUUCCAGAGAUGGAUUGGUGCCUUCGGGAACUGUGAGACAGGUGCUGCAUGGCUGUCGUCAGCUCGUGUUGUGAAAUGUUGGGUUAAGUCCCGCAACGAGCGCAACCCUUAUCCUUUGUUGCCAGCGGUCCGGCCGGGAACUCAAAGGAGACUGCCAGUGAUAAACUGGAGGAAGGUGGGGAUGACGUCAAGUCAUCAUGGCCCUUACGACCAGGGCUACACACGUGCUACAAUGGCGCAUACAAAGAGAAGCGACCUCGCGAGAGCAAGCGGACCUCAUAAAGUGCGUCGUAGUCCGGAUUGGAGUCUGCAACUCGACUCCAUGAAGUCGGAAUCGCUAGUAAUCGUGGAUCAGAAUGCCACGGUGAAUACGUUCCCGGGCCUUGUACACACCGCCCGUCACACCAUGGGAGUGGGUUGCAAAAGAAGUAGGUAGCUUAACCUUCGGGAGGGCGCUUACCACUUUGUGAUUCAUGACUGGGGUGAAGUCGUAACAAGGUAACCGUAGGGGAACCUGCGGUUGGAUCACCU
This 1528-nucleotide ribosomal RNA is filed under the name Salmonella enterica. Its description in RNAcentral is "bacterial SSU rRNA". It matches the Rfam family "Bacterial small subunit ribosomal RNA". The record is from RNAcentral. Lineage: Bacteria; Pseudomonadati; Pseudomonadota; Gammaproteobacteria; Enterobacterales; Enterobacteriaceae.